RNAcentral lists this transfer RNA (74 nucleotides) under Onishia taeanensis. RNAcentral describes it as "Halomonas taeanensis tRNA". It matches the Rfam family "tRNA". From Rfam's summary of the family: Transfer RNA (tRNA) molecules are approximately 80 nucleotides in length. Their secondary structure includes four short double-helical elements and three loops (D, anti-codon, and T loops). Further hydrogen bonds mediate the characteristic L-shaped molecular structure. tRNAs have two regions of fundamental functional importance: the anti-codon, which is responsible for specific mRNA codon recognition, and the 3' end, to which the tRNAs corresponding amino acid is attached (by aminoacyl-tRNA synthetases). tRNAs cope with the degeneracy of the genetic code in two manners: having more than one tRNA (with a specific anti-codon) for a particular amino acid; and 'wobble' base-pairing, i.e. permitting non-standard base-pairing at the 3rd anti-codon position. The record is from Rfam by way of RNAcentral. Lineage: Bacteria; Pseudomonadati; Pseudomonadota; Gammaproteobacteria; Oceanospirillales; Halomonadaceae.
GGGCCUAUAGCUCAGUUGGUUAGAGCAGGGGACUCAUAAUCCCUUGGUCGUCAGUUCGAGUCUGACUGGGCCCA